This 491-nucleotide ribosomal RNA is filed under the name uncultured Cenococcum. RNAcentral's name for it is "eukaryotic LSU rRNA". The stretch from base 148 to 301 matches the Rfam family "5.8S ribosomal RNA". The record is from RNAcentral. Lineage: Eukaryota; Fungi; Ascomycota; Dothideomycetes; Gloniales; Gloniaceae.
CAUUAUAGAAAAGCAAACGCGGGUCACACCGCGAACUUUUAAACCUUUGAGAAUCGACCUGCGUUGCCUCGGCGGGUCCGCCCGCCGGAGGACAAACUCAAAACUCCUGUUUUAACGGUGUUGUCUGAGCUACAAGCAACGAAUCAAAACUUUCAACAACGGAUCUCUUGGUUCUGGCAUCGAUGAAGAACGCAGCGAAAUGCGAUAAGUAGUGUGAAUUGCAGAAUUCAGUGAAUCAUCGAAUCUUUGAACGCACAUUGCGCCCCUUGGUAUCCCGAGGGGCAUGCCUGUUCGAGCGUCAUUUCACCACUCAAGCACGGCUUGGUGUUGGGCGACGUCCCCUCCUCGGGGACGCGCCUCGAAACGCUCGGCGGCGUGGCACCGGCUUUAAGCGUAGCAGAAUCUUUCGCUUUGGAAGUCGGGGCCCCGUCUGCCGGAAGACCUACCUUCAAGGUUGACCUCGGAUCAGGCAGGAUACCCGCUGAACUUAA